UACGUAGGGGGCAAGCGUUGUCCGGAUUUAUUGGGCGUAAAGAGCGUGUAGGCGGCCAUACAGGUCAGCUGUGAAAACUCGAGGCUCAACCUCGAGACGUCGGUUGAAACCGUAUGGCUAGAGUCCGGAAGAGGAGAGUGGAAUUCCCGGUGUAGCGGUGAAAUGCGCAGAUAUCGGAAAGAACACCAACGGCGAAAGCACUCUGCUGGGCCGACACUGACACUGAGAGACGAAAGCUAGGGGAGCGAAUGGG
RNAcentral lists this ribosomal RNA (253 nucleotides) under uncultured bacterium. RNAcentral describes it as "partial 16S ribosomal RNA". It matches the Rfam family "Bacterial small subunit ribosomal RNA", at positions 524 to 776 of the family's 1533-position model. The record is from RNAcentral.